UUCGUCCAUUUUGCUUGCCGGUUUCUUUCAUGCAACUUGACUGUCAUUUGCAAUGCGCAUCCACCAAACUGACUGACUGCUUUUGUUCUGAUCAUCUUAGUAAUCAGCAAAUCGGAUUUCCUAUUUCAUAUCUAUACUGAAGAAAAUGGAUGUUGAGAAAUGAAGAGCAUUGUCACUGGCCUCCGACAGGUAACUCUUGUUACGCGCCACAACAAGGUUUUAAGGCAACAGGUAAUGAUACUCACUACAAAAGGAAAGGUGAAACACAUAUGACGGACCGUAACAUAAAAAGAUAGGCAUGCCAAUUUUCGCUCACUAACAAAUCGAUUCUUAUAGAAAUGGACUUAAAAAUAGGACAUUUGACAGCCCCUAGCAGCGUUAACAAAGCCCAAACAAACGGACCCAAGCCUAGGGGCAUUAUUAUAUAUCGCGCUCGCACCCCUGACGGCGGCGGCUCCUUGGCACCGAUCGAGCCACCGUACGUCCCGCCGAGGAGGAACAGGUCUGGAUGCUCCGAGUUUCUAAUCGAUGGCAGUACCCACUGUGAAUCAAUAUAAUUGGCUUCCAUUCCCAUUUACUGGCAUUAUUGAUUAAUUAUAUCGGUUUUCGAUUCAUCGACUGAUCUGAUAUGUUAACGUUCUGCGCGUGUGCAGACUGCAGACAUUCUAUUCUAUUCUAUCCUAUUUCUGCAGAGGAACGAUGGCGGCAGCUCUGAAAGAUGCAUUCGUAAGGAAGUCUGUGCUGGCAACGAUCCGCCUCGUCCUACCAGCCGGCGCAGCCCGCACGGGACCGGCCUCCAGUGAGCCCAGCGCUGGGCCCCUACCGGGUGAACCUGAUGGCGCUCUGCAAGGAGAUCAACGCCAGGACGCAGAGGUACAAGCCCGACACCCCGAUACGGGUCACCGUGACCGUCUACAGGGACAGCACCUUCCAGCUCGUGGUGAAGCCGCCCUCGGUGUCGUGGCUCCUCAAGAAGGCCGCCGGGAUCCAGACCGCCAGCCGGUUCCCCGGCCACGUCACCGCCGCGUCCCUCACCGUCCGCCACGUGUACGAGAUCGCGAGGCUGAAGCUGGGUGACGACCCCUCCUGCAAGUACGCGUCGCUUGAGGCCAUGUGCAAGUCCGUCGUCGCCACGGCCCGCUCCAUGGGGAUCGCCAUCGUCAGAGAUCUGUGAUCGAUCGAGCAGCGCGUUUGUCUAGUUGGUGCUGUAACGGCUAAUAGUGUUAGUGUCUCUUCUUUAAAAAAAUCAGCCAUGGCAGGGGCAGGCGCGGUGGCCUUCAUAGCCACAGUCUGGCGGCGAUGGGAAACAAUUGUUUAAGAUAUGGUAUAUACUGCAACGUCAAAUCGUCGUCCUUCA
Molecule: RNA transcript, 1357 nt
Organism: Zea mays
Lineage: Eukaryota; Viridiplantae; Streptophyta; Magnoliopsida; Poales; Poaceae
Gene name: 50S ribosomal protein L11-like
Exons: 1
Source: RefSeq, a predicted model, not a curated record